RNAcentral lists this transfer RNA (69 nucleotides) under Ictidomys tridecemlineatus (thirteen-lined ground squirrel). Its description in RNAcentral is "Spermophilus tridecemlineatus (thirteen-lined ground squirrel) tRNA". It matches the Rfam family "tRNA". Rfam says of the family: Transfer RNA (tRNA) molecules are approximately 80 nucleotides in length. The record is from Rfam by way of RNAcentral. Lineage: Eukaryota; Metazoa; Chordata; Mammalia; Rodentia; Sciuridae.
GGGGAUGUGGCUCAAGUGGUAGAGCGCUCGCCUAGCAUGCGUGCGGCCCGGGUUCGAUCCUCAGCACCA